The sequence is a ribosomal RNA, 178 nucleotides long. It matches the Rfam family "Bacterial small subunit ribosomal RNA", at positions 1299 to 1489 of the family's 1533-position model.
UGAGGUCUGCAACUCGACCUCAUGAAGCCGGAAUCGCUAGUAAUCGCCAAUCAGCUAUGUGGCGAUGAAUAUGUUCCUGAGUCUUGUACUCACCGCCCGUCACGCCAAGCGAGCUGGGAAUGCCCAAAACUCCUCGCAAGAGAGGCUAAGGCAGGCUCAGUGAGAGGGGCGAAGUCGU